GAAAAGAAACUAACUAGGAUUCCCUCAGUAACGGCGAGUGAAGCGGGACUAGCUCAGGAUGUGAAUCUGCGCUUGAUUGGCGCCGAAUUGUGGUCUGUAGACUUUGACGUUAUCUGCCGGGCCAAGUUCCUUGGAAAAGGACAGCUGAGAGGGUGAGACUCCCGUCCGCCUGGUUGAGUGAGUCAUUUGUCAACGAGUCGAGUUGUUUGGGAUUGCAGCUCUAAUUUGGUGGUAAAUUCCAUCUAAAGCUAAAUAUUGGUGGGAGACCGAUAGCGUACAAGUACCGUGAGGGAAAGAUGCAAAGAACUUUGAAAAGAGAGUUAAAGAGUACCUGAAACUGCUGAAACGGAAGCGAAGGAAACCAGUGUUUGUUUGUUCAUAUUUCCCUGGCCACUUGUGGUUUGGGCGCUGUGAGCUUGCGUGAGUUUGGGUUGGUUGAUCCCUUUGGAAGAGCGCAGUCAGAGUUGAUGUCUGUUGCUAGCACUGGGUUUGACUGAUGCAGACGAAAUGGUUUUCUUUACCCCGUCUUGAAACACGGACCAAGGAGUCUAACAUAUGUGCGAGUACAGGGGUGUCAAACCCCGGUGCGUAAUGAAAGUGACAGUGGUUGGAAUUUUGCACAAUCCGCGGCCUCAAUCCUUCGGGAGAACGGUCUGAGUGUGAGCAUACAUGUUGGGACCCGAAAGAUGGUGAACUAUGCCUGAAUAGGGUGAAGCCAGGGGGAAACUCUGGUGGAGGC
RNAcentral lists this ribosomal RNA (739 nucleotides) under Pseudo-nitzschia brasiliana. RNAcentral describes it as "LSU rRNA". It matches the Rfam family "Eukaryotic large subunit ribosomal RNA", at positions 56 to 874 of the family's 3401-position model. The record is from RNAcentral. Lineage: Eukaryota; Bacillariophyta; Bacillariophyceae; Bacillariales; Bacillariaceae.